This 292-nucleotide long non-coding RNA is filed under the name Pan troglodytes (chimpanzee). RNAcentral's name for it is "long non-coding RNA NONPTRT013228". Lineage: Eukaryota; Metazoa; Chordata; Mammalia; Primates; Hominidae. The record is from RNAcentral.
GACAACUGAGAGGAAGGAGGUACCACGGGCACUCUCUCGCGAGAGGGCCGCAGAGCCGCCUUUGACGGGGGCGUGUACCUGGAGAGCAACGUGACAUCUGUUUGAGCAGAUGAAUAUGCCAUUGGGAAAGUCAAGGACUGUCGGAGAGGAGGACAUGGCAGACCUUAACUAAAGUGAGGGGGACAGUAGAGCACUAAAAGUUCUAGGAAAGGAGAUGAACUGCUUAUUCCAUCAGAUGAAAAUAUAGUCAGAACAGAUGAGUAGUAGAACUUAAACAUGCCCGGAGUUGCCA